RNAcentral lists this ribosomal RNA (997 nucleotides) under uncultured bacterium. RNAcentral describes it as "bacterial SSU rRNA". It matches the Rfam family "Bacterial small subunit ribosomal RNA", at positions 355 to 1375 of the family's 1533-position model. The record is from RNAcentral.
UGGGGAAUAUUGCGCAAUGGGGGAAACCCUGACGCAGCAACGCCGCGUGAUUGAAGAAGGCCUUCGGGUUGUAAAGAUCUUUAAUCAGGGACGAAAUAUGACGGUACCUGAAGAAUAAGCUCCGGCUAACUACGUGCCAGCAGCCGCGGUAAUACGUAGGGAGCAAGCGUUAUCCGGAUUUACUGGGUGUAAAGGGCGCGCAGGCGGGCCGGCAAGUUGGAAGUGAAAACUAUGGGCUCAACCCGUAAAUUGCUUUCAAAACUGCUGGCCUUGAGUAGUGCAGAGGUAGGUGGAAUUCCCGGUGUAGCGGUGGAAUGCGUAGAUAUCGGGAGGAACACCAGUGGCGAAGGCGACCUACUGGGCACCAACUGACGCUGAGGCUCGAAAGCAUGGGUAGCAAACAGGAUUAGAUACCCUGGUAGUCCAUGCCGUAAACGAUGAUUACUAGGUGUUGGAGGAUUGACCCCUUCAGUGCCGCAGUUAACACAAUAAGUAAUCCACCUGGGGAGUACGACCGCAAGGUUGAAACUCAAAGGAAUUGACGGGGGCCCGCACAAGCAGUGGAGUAUGUGGUUUAAUUCGAAGCAACGCGAAGAACCUUACCAGGUCUUGACAUCCGAUGCAUAGCGCAGAGAUGCGUGAAGUCCUUCGGGACAUCGAGACAGGUGGUGCAUGGUUGUCGUCAGCUCGUGUCGUGAGAUGUUGGGUUAAGUCCCGCAACGAGCGCAACCCUUAUUGCCAGUUACUACGUAAGAGGACUCUGGCGAGACUGCCGUUGACAAAACGGAGGAAGGUGGGGAUGACGUCAAAUCAUCAUGCCCUUUAUGACCUGGGCUACACACGUACUACAAUGGCGUUUAACAAAGAGAAGCAAGACCGCGAGGUGGAGCAAAACUCAAAAACAACGUCUCAGUUCAGAUUGCAGGCUGCAACUCGCCUGCAUGAAGUCGGAAUUGCUAGUAAUCGCGGAUCAGCAUGCCGCGGUGAAUACGUUCCC